CCCUAGGAACAGAAACCCGGCAAAUCCCAAGGCAAUAGCUAUGUCGGCCUGAACACAGAACCCGUUAGACGCCGUGCACGUGUCGAUCCUUUUCAGCGCUUUGGCUAGGGCCGUUCCUGCCGAGUCCGCAGACAGAAGGAGUACACAGAGAGAGAAAGAGAGAGAGAGAGAGAGAGGGAAUGUGAACCUGGUCGUGGCCGAAAUCGAACCAGACCUGUAAGAUUUCGGGAAAGAGAGUAGCUCCUCUUGAUAUUUCCCAAACCGAAGCUACCAUUUCGAACAGAGAGUACACCGCCACUAUCGCAUUCGCUGCGAAUACGAAUCUGCAACAGCAUGUUUUUUUUCUGUGACGCGUCACGCGCUCAGGGAUGCGUGGUAAUCGACCAUUUCUGUUUCACUAUUGGAUUGGGUUCUGGGCUUUCUGGUAUGUUCCCCAUCUGCCUCUUCUUCUUUUGUUAUUAUUUUUAUUUUCUUUAAUAUAUAUAUAUAUAUAUAUAUAUAUUUUUUUUGUGAUUUUGUUGUUGAGGUUUUGCUUUCAAUUUCAUGACAUGGUUGAAAAAGAGUCGAAGGGGCUCCAUAGCAAAACUAUUUUUUUAUUGGUUGCCUUUCUUUAUCCAUUCACUCUUUUGGGGAAAAAAAAAAAAAAUCCACUUUUUCUGUAUGUAUUUUCUUUUCUUUUUGGGUUAUACCUUUCACAUUUUUCUUAAAAUUGACACGCAAAAAAAAAAAAAAAAAACAAAAAAAAAAUCUAGAAGGGACAUAAUGGAAUCUCAUGACAGACAUUAUUUUGCUGUAUUUGUCAAACUUUCUUUAUUUUUUGUUUUAUAGUUAAGUACUAGAAUUUAUAUGUCCCAAAAAAAAAAUUAGAAUUUGUAUAAAAAUUACUGAAUUAAUUUGCUUAAUUGUAUUUUGAUAAAUAUAAUAACCCUUGUUAAAAGAUAAUAUUUAGUUCCUAUUCACCAUGUCAUUUUGCUUGCUUACAAAGCGUGUUUGGAUGUGUUUUUUGAAAUUCUAAUAAAUGCUUUUAGAGUGAAAAUAGGUGCUUUUAAGAGAAACAUCAAGGUUGGUACUUCUUUAAAUAAAUAUUUUACGAUUUUAAAAAAAAAAAAGUCAUUUAAUGUAUUAGUUAAAAUAUAAAAAUAUCAAAAAUAAAUUUAAAAAUAUUUUUUUAUUAUAUAUGGUUUAUUAUUUUAUCAUUUAUUUUAUGAAGCAUUUAUUAAUAAAGAUACUACAAAAAUAAGUGCUUAUUAAAUUGUAUUUUCAAACAUGCCUGUGGUAGAAUGGCAAUUUUAUUUAUUACUUAUUAAAUAUGAAAUACAGAGAUUAUAAUUUUUUUUAAUUGUAUUAAAUUUUAAUAGAGAGCCAAGUGCAUAAAGCUAAAUAUAGAUAAAUCGAAAUACCACCUGGUAGCCUCACGAGUACCAUAGUAUAAUGGAAAUAUAUAUAUAUAUAUAUAUAUAUAUAUAUUUAUAUAUAUUAUUGGCAAUUUUAUAGUAUGGACUGGAAUUGAAAAGAUAUAGGUGGGGGCAGAGAUUUGAAAAUGGUAAUGCUCAUUUGGUGGGUGAUCAUAGUGAACAAGGGGGUCGAAAGAAAAUAAAAAUCCCGUGACAAUGAUUAAAGGGUAUAAGACUGUUUUGAUGAUUUAACUUUUUGUUUACAAGUGCAGUCGUGUUAUUCGGUACCUUCUCCAAGCCUUUUUCACAUCCUUUCCUGUCAACAAAACCUAGGAACCGUUCUUCCAACACCAUUCAAUGGUGGUCAUCAUUAUGUUACCAACACCCUUUGAUAUUUACACCCAAGGGGGUGGAUCAAAUGGAAGAAAGCUGCAGUUGCGGGUUUAAUUCUUAACAAGUUCUAUUUAAAUUUUGGUGUGAUCGCAUGUUUGUAUAUCACUGUGGAAGAGGAUGAUAGAGACCGUGGAUAAGGUAGUUUGCGGAUUUUCCAGAAUUAGCACGAUGCAAACUACCUAUUGAUCCUUAAAGCCUGGACCGAUGAUACUCACCAAGAGGAUCUUUUUAUUAAAAAAAAAAAAAAAAACACCUUUUGAUAUUUACAUUGGAUUAUCUUAACCAAUUCUUCGAUAUAUGUAUAUAUAUUCUUAGGUGGUAUAAUAGAAAACCAUUCGAUCCUCUCAUCAGUUUUUUGAAUUGUUUUAAGUUUUUAGAUUUAAAAAUGUAUUUAGAAUUCAAUAAUAUGUAUUUGACCCAAUUAGGAUAUAUUAAUGUUAUAAGAUUGGAAACAGUUCAAAUAGUCAAGGUAAAUAGAUUAUUUUUAUUUUAACAUGA
Molecule: long non-coding RNA, 2285 nt
Organism: Ziziphus jujuba (common jujube)
Lineage: Eukaryota; Viridiplantae; Streptophyta; Magnoliopsida; Rosales; Rhamnaceae
Exons: 3
Source: RefSeq, a predicted model, not a curated record